UUCAGAGCACUGGGCAGAAAUCACAUCGCGUCAACACCCGCCGCGGGCCUUCGUGAUGCUUUGUUUUAAUUAAACAGUCGGAUUCCCCUGGUCCGCACCAGUUCUAAGUCACCUGCUAGGCGCCGGCCGAGGCGGGACAAGGCAUUAGGCUAUUUUUUUAAAAAAAUUGUUUGGGGGGGUGACUAGUUUAUUUUGUAUUAUGCUGUGUUUUGUAGCACUAGUUUUUAAUCCUGCUCUCUUCUAUCUGUUUGGAUGGAGGCUGUUUGUUUGACAAUGCUGUAAGCAUACAGCCCUCUGAUCACAAGCCGUGGUGAUGGAGCCUGGAGGUAUUCCUUUCUUAUUAUUCCUAAAGGCAACAGUUCUUUUAUGAUCACUCCAUGGCAGUCUUACUGAAGUUACAUGUAACUUGAAGUUUCUGUUGCACAGUGUCUGUAGACUACUGUAACACCCUUCUAUUGCUUCAGGGUCUCAGAUGUAUGGCAUUCACCUCUGCACAGUCAAGUCUUCUGCCUCUGGCUAGACAUUUUCGUAUUGGGAGCACAUUUAUCCAGAGAUUUAUGGAAUUAAAGUAAUCCCUUCCUGACAGAAAACACGUGCAACCAUGCCUCUUGGUUUGGUGUUUUUUAUUCUUUUUCUAACCCCCACCAUCAAUGUGCUCCCCUGCUUCAUCAAUCCAUCUUUCACUCAGGGCCCCUGUUGUAUGCAGGAUGUUUCCUCUGUUACUGAAGUGAUGUUCCAUUACCUUCAGUUCCUUUGCCAGGAAGUUCCCAGCUAAGGACUGCUUGCCGACCUGCUUAAAGGCAAUUUAUGAAAGUGUUCUCUAUGCAGGCUCCGUAUGCUCCAUCUCAGCCAUUGCAAACAGGGACCUCCAUAAUUUACCUUGAUGUGAAACUACACCACAAGUCUGGAUGCCGGGAGACCAAGCCAGGUUCUAAUUGUCCUUGAGCAGUGGUCCAUGCAGGCUGCCACUGGAGUGAAUAUUGGGAUUGGUCCUAGGUUUCCUCUGCUGGCUGUAUCCAUACCUGUGCCAGAAUGUUCCUGUACUUCACGUGGAUCUGGAGCUUGGUGGCCAUGAAUUCUCACUGGGGCAGCAGAAGUUUCUGCCAUGAAUGGACUUAUUGUUUGGCAGCAAAUGGUGACUCAUAUAAUGUUGGAUCUGCACACAGAUAACCAGAACAUGGACAUGGAGGCUUUCUGUGAUAUUUCAAGCUGUUAAAUAAAAAUGAUUUGUGUAUUAGAACAUAUAUUUCAGAUAAGUCUAGCUAAAUAAGAUUGUGCAUGCUUUAUAUCAAGAUUGUGCCAAGGUAGCCUGAUUGGAGCAUGAAUUGUGGAGGACCAUGGCAUGGUCCAGGGGUGGUCCCAAGGACUUGGGGGUGGCACCACUUACUGGUGAUUUUUGUUACAAUUAUGAGAUUGCUUCAUUGCAUAUUUUUCAUUGCUGUUGUGGGUUUUUCUUGCAAGCCGAGUAACAGAUUCACCGCAUAACUCCACUCCUUCUAGACCCCAAGGAACUUGCGGAAGAUUGGGCGUGAAGAUUGUUAGGGUUAUCUAGAAGGGGUGGGUUGUGUUGAACCAAAGGUGAACUGUUCUGGAAGCUCUGCAAACACCAUUUUGGUAGUCAAGAUAACCCCACAAUUAAUAGGUAGUUGUUGUAGUGAUGAGCUCCUAUAAGCUAAUUGGCUUGUUUUGAUGCUAUCCUUAACUGGGGGCUUCGGGUGCAUGGAGUCCAGAAAGAGGAGCUAGCUGUAAGACUUUGGUAUUUGCCACCUAUGCCCCCAUCUGGUCAAGUGGAGUGAUGGGAAGUGCUGGCCGAAGUGAAGUAUGCUGCUUUGUGUAUAAAGAUAUAUGAACGUUUGCUUGGAUGCAGACAAGCCAACUCCUUGCUGAGGUGUCUGUCCUGCAACUGUAAAGGGUGGGAGGCCUGGCAGACUGAUUUGCUGUAACAAAGCUUUUAAUAAAGCAGUAGAACUGA
This is a long non-coding RNA of Podarcis raffonei (Aeolian wall lizard), 1972 nucleotides long. RefSeq lists it as uncharacterized. The transcript has 2 exons. The record is from RefSeq and is a predicted model, not a curated record. NCBI's taxonomy places the organism in Eukaryota, Metazoa, Chordata, Lepidosauria, Squamata, Lacertidae.